Molecule: long non-coding RNA, 1006 nt
Organism: Bolinopsis microptera
Lineage: Eukaryota; Metazoa; Ctenophora; Tentaculata; Lobata; Bolinopsidae
Exons: 4
Source: RefSeq, a predicted model, not a curated record
CUUCCCUAAUUACCCCCAACUUGAGCUGAGUGCUUGUGAACCACAUCAAAACCCUGAUUUAUCAUACACGACGAUUAUUCGCACAAGUUGUCUUUCCCUCAAACAGCAAACUGUGCAGUAAAUCGUGGUGUUACUGUACAUGGUUUGCCUGGUGAAUACCAUGAUUACAAUAAUAAGUUAUGAUAAAAAUUCUUGUAACCCUUAACACAUUACGCCCACUUUGCAGUUGACGAACAGAGAAAAAAAAUCAUAUCUUGGGAUAUGCCGAUAUUGAUCGAUACAUCUGUUGAUCUUUGAAUAAGAGUUUUGGUAACUCAGCCAAUCCCUAGCUGGAACCUUUUAACCGUCUUGGUGCUGAUUCAUCAUGAUCCAAUCCUGACCUCUCCCUUCUCAUCGACUCAACUUCACAUCAGAAACUCAGCAACCGCGGCCGGAAUUUAAAUGCCGAAAUCAUUUGAAAAUUCUCGUCGAUAUGGUUGGACCAUGCGUUUGAAAAUCUAUAGAGAUUGGAGGUCGCUCCGAUUUAGUUAUUGAAAAGGAAAUGUAAAACCAAGGAGACUGAAGAAAUCCAAAGAUAGAGCCAAUAAAGACAGUCAGAGGACCAAUUUUAUAAACCUUAACAGAAAAAGGCCGUGCUGGAUGAACAGAUAUUGCUCCGCAGCUCGUUUCCUGGACCUUACUUCAUAAAAGUAUCCCCAUCCGAACCUACAGCAGAACCUCAACCUACAGCAGAACCUCAACUUCCAGCAGAACCCAAACCGUUCUAAUUGCCAUGUUAGCUGAAGAUUGUUCUAUUAUUAGAAAAUAGGCUAUAGAUGGUAGUUGGGUAUAUUUUAAUUGUUUUGGUAAUAAUGUGUAAGUAACUGAGCCGCCUACUUUAAAGGGAUUAGAUUUAAAUCUUGAAUUGUUUCAGAACCAAUUACUUCUGGGCUGCCCUGUAAAAAUUAAACGGGCGUAUAGGUUGUCUCGGCAAAGCCUCCUUAAAUUAUUGAUACACGAUCUUAAG